UAGAGUUACCAGUCAUUCUGGUUUGCUUGGGACUGAGGGGUUUCCUGGAACACUGGACUUUCAGUGCUAAAACUAG
RNAcentral lists this microRNA precursor (76 nucleotides) under Choloepus hoffmanni (Hoffmann's two-fingered sloth). RNAcentral describes it as "miRNA (ENSCHOG00000014330.1)". The record is from RNAcentral. Lineage: Eukaryota; Metazoa; Chordata; Mammalia; Pilosa; Megalonychidae.